UUAAUUGAAGAGUUUGAUCAUGGCUCAGAUUGAACGCUGGCGGCAGGCCUAACACAUGCAAGUCGAGCGGCAGCGGGAAGUAGCUUGCUACUUUGCCGGCGAGCGGCGGACGGGUGAGUAAUGUCUGGGAAACUGCCUGAUGGAGGGGGAUAACUACUGGAAACGGUAGCUAAUACCGCAUGACCUCGAAAGAGCAAAGUGGGG
RNAcentral lists this ribosomal RNA (204 nucleotides) under Ewingella americana. RNAcentral describes it as "partial 16S ribosomal RNA". It matches the Rfam family "Bacterial small subunit ribosomal RNA", at positions 1 to 211 of the family's 1533-position model. The record is from RNAcentral. Lineage: Bacteria; Pseudomonadati; Pseudomonadota; Gammaproteobacteria; Enterobacterales; Yersiniaceae.